CAGUUAUACUCCAACACUGAACAAUAAACUCUCAGUCUGUUUGAUGGUCAUCAUGUUUCAUCCAAACCAAGCAGCUCUGCUCUCUUUAUUAUUUAUGCACGGGGUCUUUGCAGCAGAUCAAGAAGGCAACCACAAGAAUGAAGAGGUGUCCAGAGGAGGCUCUGUCAUUUUUACUUGCAACACAUCAAGAGAAAAUACAAAACAAAUCAACUGGAGCAAAGGCAGAUUUUCUUUUUCUCAUUUAAUGAAAGGAAAUGUGACUGUUUCAAAUUUCCCCUCUGACAGACUGACAAUAGAUCUAUCCUCAAAGCUGAUUAUUUCUAAUGCUCAGGAAGAUGAUGAAGGACUAUAUACAUGUAAUUUAACUGAAUCUUCAGGUUCAACGACUUAUCGGUGGAAUUUAACCGUGUCUGACAAACCUGAAGAGGAGAAGUCAUCGGGGUAUUUCCUAUACAUACUCACAGCUGGGAUCGGAGUGGUACUGUGUUGCAUCAUUUCAGCCACAUGCCUCUGUAGGAAAUGUAAGGCCAAGACAGCAGACCAGAACCCAGUCCAGGACCAGUUUCACCAGCAGUCAGCUGGAGAGGUC
Molecule: non-coding RNA, 589 nt
Organism: Labrus bergylta (ballan wrasse)
Lineage: Eukaryota; Metazoa; Chordata; Actinopteri; Labriformes; Labridae
Source: RefSeq, a predicted model, not a curated record